Molecule: long non-coding RNA, 2750 nt
Organism: Lytechinus pictus (painted urchin)
Lineage: Eukaryota; Metazoa; Echinodermata; Echinoidea; Temnopleuroida; Toxopneustidae
Exons: 2
Source: RefSeq, a predicted model, not a curated record
ACAGAAACGUGAGGUCCCAGAUUACCUUUGUGGCAAGAUAAGUUUUGAAUUGAUGAGGGAUCCUGUCAUCACGCCCAGUGGUAUCACGUAUGAUCGCAAAGAUAUCGAGGAACAUCUACAGAGAGUGGGUCAUUUCGACCCUGUGACACGCUCAAAGCUGAUCCAAGACCAGCUUAUACCCAACCUAGGGAUGAAGGAGGUGAUUGAUACAUUCCUAUGUGAUAAUGAAUGGGUGGAAGAGUUCUGAAUAAAGAGACACCCAUUCCUAGAUGACAUUGACUAUGUGGAAUGUUAUAGAGACCCUACCAAGGUCCAUGCAGGUAAUAGGCAGAUAUAAGGAACGACAUUGAAGUCGCUGCUACUCGUCUUCUACGCAAAUUCCAUGCGAAGGAACUCAGUCAUGGAAUGCAGACUGUGUUAGACAUUGAAGCUGGACUUCAUGACACUACGUGAUAUUAUCCAAUAACAGAUGAAUGGAUGAGUUACUUCUAAUGCUUCUACUGCAUCAGGAAGAAGUUUCUCAUCUGAUCUGCCCGAAUGAUUGUAGCAUGGAACUUCAAUGGUGGUGAAGAUGCUUGGCUGUCUACCAAGCAUCGAACAAACUUCUCGUGCAGAGAUUACUGUCACACAAUUCCAUUACAGCUCAUUGAUUUUUACCCCAAUAUUGAUCUAUCUAUAAAAGUUUGAUCUUUUUAGCAUCACCUUUUCACAGAACUCCAGCUUUAGCAUGUUUAUGGCAUGUUAGCUUCUCUCCAAGCCUUAAAUCAAUUAUAAAGAAAAAACAAUUUGGCAUCAAGAAAGCUACUCUAAAUUCAGCAUAGGUCAAAGCCGCUGACGUAAUUUAUUAAAGUUACCUUAUCCAAAUGUAUCAGGACUAGUCCGUCUAUGUUUUGUAAUAGUCACUUCGAAAAAGAUAUGUUGUACACUAAAAGUUGUGGAAUACAUAACUUUCCUUUCUAGUUCCAAAUGAUAUGAUUGCUAUUAUCAUAAACUUUUCUUUUAAGAUAACGGUAGUGUGCUUUAAUUUCUAAUGAAAUGUUGGCAAAUAAUGAAGAACUUAGUAUUCAAAUACAAGAAUUUCAAUCUAAAGAGAUUAGAUUUUAACUAAUGCUGAAUGCAGGGCUGCCAAUUCUCCCUUAUUAUCAGGGAGACUCCUUGGCAAAUGACUGAUUUCUUAGUGAAAAACUCUUGAUUUUCAAUAUCUCCCUGAUUCAAUACAUUAAUUUCUUUCAUUGGAUUGUGUGUAAUGGAGAAAGCUCUCCUUCCUUCCCCAGUAAAUUCUCCCUGAGAAGCGAAUAAUAAAGUUGGCAGCUCUAUGAAUGAGAACACAAUCUGUUGACAUUCUGAAUGAGCAAAAAAUUUGGUAACAAGUCAUGCUUAAAGUCAAGGGUAACAGCUUUAUGAAUCACAGGUCUUGUAGGACGUGAAGUUCAAUAUAUUUUUUAUCAUCACGGCAUUAGGUGGGUGUUUCAUAAAGCCGUUUGUAAGUUAAGAGCGACUUUCAGAACGACUGGUGAUUCUUUCUUGUGGUAAAUGGUAUACGCCAAAAUGUUAAUUGGCAAUGGUUUAGUGCGUAAGAAAGGAUCACCAGUCAUUCAUAAAGUUGCUCUCAAGUUACAAACAGCUUUAUGAAACAACCCUAGGCUUGAGUACUCUAAUGGGAUUAUGUGCAUACACUGUGAGAAAGCUUGCUUAGAGAUAUUGUCAAUGUACUAUUUUUCACUUAAAUCAUAAUAAUAUUCAAUCACCCAAUACUCAUUAGUAUAUACAAUGUAUAUAUGUAUUCCAUGAUAUAGUAUUAGUUCAAAUCUGUCCAGUCCACAAAUGAAAUUGUGAUGAUAUAAAAAGUACAUGUGCAUUCUGUUGCACCAAUUCAAACAAAGUUCUGAAAGAUAUACUGUAUUGCAUAAAGUAUUAUUAACUUUGAGAUUUACUUGUAAUUUGUCUUAUUAUUUAUUACUCUUUUAAAGAUAAGAGUAUCCGUGCAGCAACAACAUCGGUUGUACCGUUUGAUGAUUAUGCCACAAUGGUGUAGAUUUGAGCUCCUACAUUAUAAACAUGACAUAACAUAACCCCAUUCGUAGGGGUGAUAUCUGAUUUGGAUUAUAAUAUCAGAAUUGGCUGGCUGAACUUUUGGGGAGCAACAAAUUUAUUGCCCUUAUAAGAACCAUUAUUUCCCUCUGUUUCUGUUAAAAGCAAUAUAAUUCAUGUUCCCCUCAAGGCCAGUCAGUAUUAUUCAAAUAUUACCUAUUGGCUCUUUUUUUUUCGUUACUCCCAUUAAAAGUCUUACCUAUUGAAUAUAUUUUUAUUAAAAACAACUAUGGACUUUCAGAAUUAAUGUAAAUGAUGCUGUUGAAAUAUCAAUCAGGAAUAGUCAUCAGGAGGUAUAUUUCAUUUUCUUUGGAAAACAUGGGCAAUUUCUUUUUCUAUCUCAGCAGACCCAGAAGAAUGCAAUCAAUAUGGUAAUAGUAGAUCUACUUCACAUUCCGUCCUGAAGUGAUUUCAACAUUUAAUCAAUAUUUUUGUCUGGUAAGUUGUCGGAUCUGGCAACUCUCCAUGAUUGGCUGAGAAGCACUAUUACUAUCAUAUCAAACAUACUUUCGUAAUAAUAAUAAUGAUAUGUAGCAUUUAAAGUACUCCUAUCUAGUUACCUAUUCUGAGAUGAAGAGGGAAGAUGUUGUGGAGAAGCAAAUUGUAUGAAAUAUGAUGUGAAUAAAUAUGUUUUAAGGUUGGAUUUGAAUGAUUCCAUA